The sequence is a regulatory RNA element, 162 nucleotides long. It matches the Rfam family "DABA-DC-AT RNA". The record is from Rfam.
CCAAUUCCAACACAAGGUGUUUGGAGCACAUGCACAGCAAGGCGAGGGAGUCUCUGCGCUUGCUGUGCCCGUAGGUACUGGUGAAAUUCGUUACCAGUAGAAGGGCAUUAAUAAUGUGGCCUGUAAGGACGAAAAGUCAGGCGCAUAUUGAGGAACCCAACA